RNAcentral lists this unclassified non-coding RNA (243 nucleotides) under Hevea brasiliensis (rubber tree). Lineage: Eukaryota; Viridiplantae; Streptophyta; Magnoliopsida; Malpighiales; Euphorbiaceae. The record is from RNAcentral.
GGCAUCGUGAUCUCUGCCGGUAUGGCAAGAAUGAAGGGAAAUGUCUAUUUCCAUGGUGUGGACAGCUGGAUCCAAGCUGUGGAAAUAGUGCUUUAUAACGAGUUAUUUUUCUUUUAUUAUUCUUAUUAGUGAAAUUAAAUAAAAAAUCACCUUUAAUAACCAUAGAAAUUCUUGAUUCAAGGGUACAAAUACUUAAGAGUUUGCUAAUUUAUGUCAUGCCAGAGUGUGUGAGAAUAUACCCAU